UGGAUUGAUGAUGACUACUGGUGGCGUAUGAGUCGUGUACGAUGACUGGCAGUCUGAUGUCCGA
This is a small nucleolar RNA of Delphinapterus leucas (beluga whale), 64 nucleotides long. Lineage: Eukaryota; Metazoa; Chordata; Mammalia; Artiodactyla; Monodontidae. The record is from Ensembl.